CUUCCUGGUUCCUAAUUGAGGCUGCAAAGGAAUGGACUGGAGUCACCUCUUAGAAGGAUUCCUGGGAGGUGGUUUUUCAAAUGAUGGAGAAAAGAUAAAUCAAGGGUCCUGGAAAGACCUGGGAAGAGUUGGUGAUGUUGCCACUUCCCAGUUGAGAAGCUGCUCAGAGAGGAGAACGACAGAGCUGAGAGCCAUUUACAGUGGUUAUAGAUGACUCCACACACCAGAAAAGUGGCCAAUGGACAGAUGCUGAAGUUGAAGCUCCAAUAUUUUGACCACCUGAUGUGAAGAGCCGACUCACUGGAAAAGACCCUGAUGCUGUGAAAGACUGAGGGAAGGAGAAGAAGGGAGCGACAGAGGAUGAGAUGGUUGGAUGGCAUCACUGACUCAAUGGACAUGAGUUUGAGCAAACUCUGGGAGAUACUGAAGGACAGAGAAGCCUGGCAUGCUACAGUCCAUAGGGUUACAAAGAGCUGGACAUGACUUAGCGACUGAACAACAACAAUUUAGAUAAUGGUGAGACCAAUUUUUAAUGAGCAGAGAAAGACUGAGGCCAAAUAGAAGUGAUUAUGUUACACACAUAAUAGAUAUUUCUUCUUAAGAUAUAAUCAGUAUGUCUACAUGACUUUUAAGAAGGACUUUGGAAGGUCACAUACACACUGCUAUAUUUAAAAUGGAUAACUAACAAAAACCUAUGGUAUAGCACAUGGAACUCUGCUCAGUGUUAAGUGCCAGCCUGGAUGGGAGCGGGGUUGUGGGGAGAACGGAUCCAUGUACAUGUAUGUACGGCUGAGUCCCUUCACUGUUCACCUGAAACUGUCAGAACAUCGUUAAUCAGCUAUACCCCAAUGCAAAAUGUUUUUUUUGUUAAAAAAAAAAAAGGAAUCACACUGUAAAUACAGAUCAGAGGCCACCUUUACUCUAAUUAUCUACAGAAAAUACAGAUCUGAGAAAUGUUAAAAUACCCAAAAAUCCUAGUUUGGAAUUUUUAGUAUUGUCUUUUUCUUGAUGGCCUAUGCUUUAAAAUAAAU
RNAcentral lists this long non-coding RNA (1031 nucleotides) under Bos indicus x Bos taurus (hybrid cattle). RNAcentral's name for it is "lncRNA (ENSBIXG00000007773.1)". The record is from RNAcentral. Lineage: Eukaryota; Metazoa; Chordata; Mammalia; Artiodactyla; Bovidae.